GCUCAGAAACUACAAAGGAAGUUGACGGGGCCCGCACAAGCGGUGGAGCAUGUGGUUUAAUUCGAAGCAACGCGAAGAACCUUACCAGGCCUUGACAUGCAGAGAACUUUCCAGAGAUGGAUUGGUGCCUUCGGGAACUCUGACACAGGUGGUGCAUGGUUGUCGUCAGCUCGUGUCGUGAGAUGUUGGGUUAAGUCCCGCAACGAGCGCAACCCUUGUGUUUAGUUGCAAACAGGUCAAGCUGUGCACUCUAGACAGACUGCCGUGGACAACACGGAGGAAGGUGGGGAUGACGUCAAAUCAUCAUGCCCCUUAUGAUCUGGGCUACACACGUGCUACAAUGGCCGGUACAACGGGCAGCGAAGGAGCGAUCCGGAGCGAAUCCUAAAAAGCCGGUCCCAGUUCGGAUUGCAGGCUGAAACUCGCCUACAUGAAGUUGGAGUUGCUAGUAAUCGCGAAUCAGAAUGUCGCGGUGAAUACGUUCCCGGGUCUU
Molecule: ribosomal RNA, 493 nt
Filed under: uncultured Fusibacter sp.
Lineage: Bacteria; Bacillati; Bacillota; Clostridia; Eubacteriales; Fusibacteraceae
Description: bacterial SSU rRNA
Rfam family: Bacterial small subunit ribosomal RNA
Source: RNAcentral